AGCCCAUUCUCAUAAUAUUUAAGGUGCAAAGAAAUCCCACAUGCAGACAGCCAACAAGGGGAAAUCAAAUGGUGAUCCAAGUCUGUAACUCUCACACCAUGCACCAAGCAAAUCCUAUAAGCUUCUUUACAUGGAGAAAAAUUCUAUGUAGAAAUAUUAGAUAAAAUGAACUAAGCGAAAGAAAAUUUUUAAUUAACAGGAAAAAGAAAAAAAAAGGAAGACUCCAGCAAUUGAUGACACAAAGAAAAAGGAUACU
RNAcentral lists this unclassified non-coding RNA (256 nucleotides) under Hevea brasiliensis (rubber tree). Lineage: Eukaryota; Viridiplantae; Streptophyta; Magnoliopsida; Malpighiales; Euphorbiaceae. The record is from RNAcentral.